CGUCUGUGUGCAGGGGACAAUUGCAUGGAGUCAAAGCCCAUUUCUGCUAGUCAGGUCAGCAGAGAAGAUAUUUUGUUUUCUGGAAUUCUGUAGGCCUGGGAGGCAUGAUCUGGUGUAGAACAAACCUGAGGAUCCAGAUUCAGCUGCACAAAUAGAUAGGACAAAAUUCCUUUUCACUGCAGUAUUGGGAGCCUGGAACUAGAGUUACCAACCCCUCUGCGUUAAAGAAGGAGCUGUCCUGAGGCUUCCAUCUCUACUGGGCUUGAGGCAAGAACAUUGUUAGGGACGGCCUGCUCUUGGCCUCUGUGCCCCAGGGAUUGCAAAUGCAUGUUCCUCAAAGGUAAGGGCUGUAUCAUUCGGCUUUCUUUGUAUUCACAGGUACAGCUUGUGCUAGGCAGCCGGUGUUCAAUAAAUAUCGUGCCUAAGGAUAAAGUGGCAUUGUCCUUAAUUUCCCCCACCAAACCACUAGGUGUCGCCUUCAUCUCAGGGAAACCAUGCCCGUCCUCGCCCUAUACACUCCCA
This 522-nucleotide long non-coding RNA is filed under the name Homo sapiens (human). Its description in RNAcentral is "non-protein coding lnc-NPR2-1:6". Lineage: Eukaryota; Metazoa; Chordata; Mammalia; Primates; Hominidae. The record is from RNAcentral.